This 918-nucleotide long non-coding RNA is filed under the name Gossypium barbadense (sea-island cotton). RNAcentral's name for it is "long non-coding RNA (GBAR_LNC011790)". The record is from RNAcentral. Lineage: Eukaryota; Viridiplantae; Streptophyta; Magnoliopsida; Malvales; Malvaceae.
AAAACUAAACUUUUCUUUGCUCUCUCUCUGCAGAUCCAAGUCCGGUCAGGCCCCGGCGAGCUGCCACCGCCCUCCUCUGCGUCUCCAUCGCCGGCGACUGCCGUGCACGGCGGUUGGAAGUAAAAAAUUUCUCUCUUUUUUUGUGUUUUAAAAUGUAUUUACUUUUCUUUUUGUCUAUAUUGCCUAUUUAUACAUAUAUGGGUAUAAAAUAGGACGAUUGGCCAUGAAAUAACAACGAAAAAGAAGGAAAAAUAAAACUAACCACCUUAGGACUACGGCUUCUGUUUCUGAGGGCUUUGGGUUUAUUUUGAUGCCUUUUCUCUUAUUUCUUGAGGGCUAAUAAUGUUGUUUUUUUGCUUGAAUCUAUGUUCUUUUUUUGUAUUUGAAAAAAUGUCCGAAAUUACAAUGGUUUUGGAUUCGGCUUUAAAUAGCCGUUUACAUGCCUCUAAUCUUGCUUUCUCUCUAUUCUUAUUAAUGUUUGCAAGUACCAGUGGCGGUGGAUUUGACAAGGGCGAUGCUACAGGCGUCGUCAGAGGCAAGUGGGGGUAAAAGGGGGUUGACUGAACGGCUAGGGUUUUCUUCUUUUUUCUGAUUUUUUUAUUGGGCUAGGGCUCUUUUGGGCUUGGGGUAUUUGGGCUGUAAUUUAAUGGGUUUAGUGGGUUAUUUGGGCCCGCAAAUUGGGCUUGUACACAAAUAAUUAACACAAUUAUUUUAAUAAUUGACAUGGAUCUUUUUAAAACAGUUAUUCUAAUUUUGCAUGCCAAAGUAAGUUUUAAUUAUAAUAGUAUUUUAAAAAAUUCACGUAAAUAGUUUAAUUGAAAUAAUUAACAAUAAUAUUAUUUUUAUGAAUCUGUAUUGCUUUAUAUACUUGGUAGAUGUCUCCCAACACUUAAAUCACAUAAACUAGGGAAAGUGAGG